Long non-coding RNA from Pezoporus flaviventris, 417 nucleotides. RefSeq lists it as uncharacterized. Lineage: Eukaryota; Metazoa; Chordata; Aves; Psittaciformes; Psittacidae. The transcript is spliced from 3 exons. The record is from RefSeq and is a predicted model, not a curated record.
GAAUAAGAUGAAAGGAAAGGAUGUAGCUUGAAAGCAUGAUGGAGAACAGCCAGAGGGUAUUCUUAAAUUCCAAAGACCAGUGUAUUGGAGCCAACUGCACAUGGCAAUCCUGACGGAGCAGACCACGUAUUUCAUGGCUCACAAAGCUACUGAUCUUUUUGGCUCUGGCAAGCUUUGCUGGGCAGUAAUAGACCUGGACCUACCAGGGCUCAGCAGGCCAGGGAGCAACAGUUUCAAACCCAUACUUCACUUCAGCCAUCAGAAGCAAAAACCUUUGGUCAGGUCUGCAAACCCCAAACUGAAUCUGCCCAAGACAGCAGAGUGUGUGUUAAAGAGUCUCCAAACAAACGAAAAACUCCCUCAAACAUCACUCUGUUCCUUUUCACAAGCAGCAGAGAAAGAGGGGACUAACGCCUC